Molecule: non-coding RNA, 99 nt
Filed under: Pteridomonas danica
Lineage: Eukaryota; Dictyochophyceae; Pedinellales
Source: RNAcentral
ACAUCCACACUCAAAUUCAACAAAAAACCAAAAAAAACAAAAAAAAACAGUCAUAAAAGGACCCAAAAAAUACAAAUAAAAAGGGCCCUCGUUUACACC